GGAACUCAGAGGUGAUGCCUAAUAGCAUAAUCUCGGCAUAAAGUGGAAUGGACCGUUUUCUGAAAAUGUACAAGUCUACCUGAGUCUGGAGCCGAAUGCAGAGAUACCGGGGCCCGUGUUCUCAGCAGCUAGACUGUCUACUCCACCCCAAACACUGGUGGUGCCUAUGUGGAUCAUUAGACCCACCAGGGCACGUGAGAAAGUAUCCCGUUGAGUAAGGGGUUCUUCUAGACGCUAUAGACUGUGGCUUCUCAUCUUGCAGAUCCUCGACAGGUACUGCCAGAGGUUGGUGGCAAAUGUCCUGACCAUCUUUAAGUGGUCAGUACGACAGUCUUAAGUUCAUCCACAAGUCUGGACAACUGUCCCCAGAGUCCAUUUCUAGAGCCUUUUCAGUGUACCCACACAGUAAACAUUUUCCCAUCCCCUUUUUCCACUCCAGACCCCAGGAAAGCUGGGCCGUGCUCCUGAGCUCUGUAGAUUUCUCUCCUGAGAUAAAGUGACCCCCACAUUCCAUGUUCUUUAGCGCCUGGCUUAUGUCAGUUCAUUCAUGUCAAUAUGCCUGAAUGUCACUUUUUAUAGCUCAGUAAGAUGAGCCUGUAUAGUACCACAUAUUUUAAAAAUUAAUUUAUCUGCCUGAAGGUUUUGAGAAGCAAAAGUAGAUAAUACGACCAGACUAGAAAUGUGUUCCAGUUGUUACAAAAAUACACAGUUGAGCUAUUUAGAGAAUUUCCUAACAUGCUACUCUUAGAUUAAGAUUGUAAUUAGUAGAUCUUGGGCAUACUCACUAUGGUGUGGAGCUGUGAUUAUCUACUCAGUUGUAACUAACACCCAGUGAAGCACACUGCUCUGCGGAUCUGUGUGUUUGUGGUGGAGCUUUAUGCGACAGCCAGGACUCAGGCCUAAUGGAUGAAUUGAUUUCUUGAUGGGUUCAUAAUCAGCUCACCUUUGGUGAGAUGUGGGAGGUGGGUUUUGGGGGUGGUGUCACCCUGGCUGAAGGGCCCUAGUGGGCCUGAGCAGGCAUGGUGCUGACAGGUCUUGCCUUUCUCUCUCCUCCUUGCUAAACCACAGAUUAUAUUCCUAAAGCUAGCCACCAAGGUCUAGUCCCUUAUUAACCAUUUCCUCCUCCUGGGGCUGACCACACAGGUCCAGCUAUCUAAGUAUUGGAGUCUGGUAGCCAGAAGCCCCCUAUUGGCUCACCUAGUUAACAUAUCCAGUUAAAACAAAGCAACUCACCCUGACACGGGCUUCCCCUUUCUCUUGAUAAACCUUUAUUUUCCUAUGGAUCAUGUGUGUAUCCUCUCUAUCCAGAGGCAGUCCAUUGUCCCUCUGGGGAAGCUAUCCCUUCCCUCCUCCCCAUAGUCCCUUCCCCUUCUCCCUAGUCCUCUGUCUCCUGUCUGUCUCUUACUCCCUGCCCUUUGUCCCUCCGCAGCAAAGGAAUCUCAUUUGUGCUGAGAACUUGGUCUCAGUGUGUUCUGUGCAGACUCUGGUCUUUCGCUGGCCAUUUCCUGUAUGCUCCUCCUUAUUGCCCUGCGUCUUUUAAGAAGUGAAGUGACAACACUGUGACAUGCCCGAUGCUGUUCAAAGAGCACAGGGACAGCGCCCGAGCCACAUUCUUGUCCCUUAAGUUCUAUUUGUUAGACAGUUUGGUCAGGGGGACAGAGAAGAGAUACACGCACACAUGCAGGGUGUGCAUGAGGAAGGAAUCGUUUUUUGUAUAGUUUCUGCUCUCGCCAUGCUUUUAUCAUUCAUUUUCUCCCAUUAAUUCAGCCGUGUAACAUGCGCACACUUAGGUUAUAGCUUUAAUGCAGAUAUGGUGGUAUGCAGAGCUUUUCAACUCAUAAGAUGGUGGCUAUUUUACAAGAACCACUUAGGCUGGGCUUUGGGCAUGAACAUCAAAGUGCUUCUUGGUAGGUCACCAGACUACUCAAUGGUUUCUAAAAAGGUUCUGAUCUCUCAUUCCCUUUGUGUUGGCUCCAAAUUAGCUUUUCCUUAAAAUGUCUAAGGUGUAUCCCAAAGGCACCCAAGACAAAGGGCAAGGAGUAAGAGACAGAGACAGGAGACAGACCGGGGAGAAGGGGAAAGGGCUAUGAGAGGGGGGAAGGGAUAUCUGCCCCUGAGGGACAACAGACUGCCUCUGGAUAGAGAGGAGACUGACAUGAUCCAUAGGAAAAUGGCGGAUAAUCAAGGGAAAGGGGAAAUCCAUGUCAGGAUGACCUAUAGGAACAGUUAUCUCACUUAAAAUGGAACGGACAGGAGAAAGUUUGUUUUCCCUCCUGGGAUAGGCUGAGGCCUCUGUAAUAGCUAGGCAGGAGAGUGCCUAGGCUCUGGUCUCCUCUGUUGGAUGAGAGAGUGCUGAUACGCCCUGGUGUUAUGCGAUCUUAAAACCAUGUAAUAAUGUCUUUCACCAGCAUGAGCAGAGCCCAGCAUGCUGGCUCCUUCGCUCUUCCCACACAGUGUACCAUGAUGCAGUAAGGGAGAAGCUGGGCAGACAGGAUCAGCAAAGGCAGCUGACAGCAACAUUGUAGCGAACAGAUGGUGGAGACGUGGCGACUGGAGAACUGUGGAAGCUGAUAGUCACUUUGGGGGCUGAAAGAAAACAAUACAGUUAGUGCAGAGAUGGAAGGGUGUCAGGAGACAUCCGGGAAAGGCUAAGGCUGGUAGGAAAGGACUGGAGUAAGCACAGGACACACCAAGACCAAGUUCUCAGCACAAAGGAGACUUAUUUGCUCCAGAGGGACGGAGGGCAGAAAGUAAGAGACAGGACUAUGGAGAACUAGGGGGAAGGGGCAAGGAAUAUGGGGAGGGGGGAAGAAACGUUUGCCUCAGAUGGACAACGCACUGCCUCUGGAUAGAGAGUGUCCAGUGUCUGUCCCAACCUUUUGGGUUUCAGAGCUGAGGUGGAUCACAGCAUUGGAUGAAAGCCACAAGACUGAUAAUCUCUGGCCUUACAAAUGCACUGGAGGCUAGAAGCUGAUGGCUUCUGGAAACUUAACACUCUCUUGCUUACUCUGUGGUUGAAGACAGCUGGCUUUUUUCCCCCUCUUUAACUCUCUGUGCUUUAUUGAAUUUUGGGAACUUAACUCUUUAUUGCUAUUCUGUGCUUCAAAAAAGCACUGAAAACUUAACUCUUUGUGCUUAAAUAAGUGCUGAUUUCUAGUGAAUUAACAUGUGUAUAGCAGCUGGAAAUUAAGUAAAAGGAUUUAUUAAUAGAGCUUCUUUCUCUGGGGAGUCUGCCGGGAGUCCCUGGAGGGCCAGCUGAGAGGCUCAGAGCUUGCUAAUGCUUUCUAAACCAGAGAGAAAAGAAAGGGAAAGAGCUCACACAGACAACUCACACUCAGCAAAGUGGAAAAUGGCUGCACCACCUUCCUUUAUUGGCUUGUUUUUUUAUAGCUUUAAGGCAAAAGUUCUCUAUGUAAGAAAGAAUUACCUCAUAGAGAAGAUGUUACAAAAAAGGGGAGUUACAGGAAGGUAUCGAUAACAAGUUCAAAGCAGUGUUUCACACUGUAAGCUCGUUACAAGUUCAGAGCCACAGUUUUUACAUGGCCUUGCCUUAACAUAGUGCACACCUGUAGCUUCAUCUUUGACCCUGAAUAUUUUCCCUUGAACGCAGAUUUGUCCCAAGCCUAUUUAUUUAUCUUUUUAUUAUAAUUAUGAAAGCUCAUUGUACUUCCUAUUAUGAAGCCUUUACUUACCAUCAUGAGGCGUGGGCACAUUCUAUUCAUGAAUAUAACUUUUCUAGCAAAACAACUAAAACCACCUCUUAAAACUUUCUUCCUCCUCACUCCUUUUCCGGCUGGAAGCAUGGAGGAUGUUCCAGAGAAGAAAAAGAAGGUUGCCGCUGUGCCAGAAACCCUUAAGAAAAAGCAAAGGAAUUUCGCAGAGUUGGAGGUGAAUCACCCGAGGAAGAAGUUUGCCCUGAAGACACUGCGAGAGGGAAGGAGGAAGCUCAGCUGUGAGAAGGCAAGGCACUACCACAAGUAUAGGCAGACAUACUGGACUGCGAUUCGGAUGGCCAGGAUGGCAAGGAGAGCUGGGAACUUCAAUGUGCCCGCAGAACCAAAACUGGCCUUUGUCAUCACAAUCCGAGGUAUCAGAGGAGUAAGCCCAAAAGUCCGCAAGGUAGUGCAGCUUCUUCGUCUUCUACAGAUCUUCACUGGCACCUUUGUUAAGCUCAACAAGGCUUCAAUUAUCAUGCUGCGGAUUGUGGAACCGUACAUUGCACGGGGGUAUCCCAACCUGAAGUCAGUAAACAAGCUCAUUUACAAGUGAGGCUAUGGCAAAAUCAACAAGAAGCGGAUCGCCUUGACAGAUAAUUCGUUGAUUGCUCGAUCUCUUGGUACAUUUGGCAUCGCCUGCAUGGAGGAUCUAGGUCAUGAGAUCUAAACAGCUGGAAAAGGAUUCAAGAAAGCAAGUAGCUUCCCGUGGCUUCAAAUGACCUUCCCACAAGGUGGAAAGAAGAAAAACAGAACUCACGUUGUAGAAGGUGGAGAUGCUGGCAACAGGGACGACCAGAUAAACAAGCUUAUUAGAUGGAUGAACUAAGGUGUCACCCAUGAUAUUUUUGUAACCUGGUCAGUUAAUAAAGUCACAGCUUGGCAAA
Mus musculus (house mouse) is the source of this 4600-nucleotide RNA transcript. It is a transcript of the gene named RIKEN cDNA 1700073E17 gene, with no coding region annotated. The record is from RefSeq and is marked provisional. Lineage: Eukaryota; Metazoa; Chordata; Mammalia; Rodentia; Muridae. The transcript has a single exon.